AGUGAACGCUGGCGGUAGGCCUAACACAUGCAAGUCGAACGGCAGCACAGGAGAGCUUGCUCUCUGGGUGGCGAGUGGCGGACGGGUGAGGAAUACAUCGGAAUCUACUUUUUCGUGGGGGAUAACGUAGGGAAACUUACGCUAAUACCGCAUACGACCUACGGGUGAAAGCAGGGGAUCUUCGGACCUUGCGCGAUUGAAUGAGCCGAUGUCGGAUUAGCUAGUUGGCGGGGUAAAGGCCCACCAAGGCGACGAUCCGUAGCUGGUCUGAGAGGAUGAUCAGCCGCACGGGAGCUGAGGCACGGUCCAGACUCCUACGGGAGGAAGCAGUGGGGAGUAUUGGACAAUGGGCGCAAGCCUGAUCCAGCCAUACCGCGGGGGUGAAGAAGGCCUUCGGGUUGUAAAGCCCUUUUGUUGGGAAAGAAAUCCAGCUGGUUAAUACCCGGUUGGGAUGACGGUACCCAAAGAAUAAGCACCGGCUAACUUCGUGCCAGCAGCCGCCGUAA
Molecule: ribosomal RNA, 506 nt
Filed under: uncultured bacterium
Lineage: Bacteria
Description: partial 16S ribosomal RNA
Rfam family: Bacterial small subunit ribosomal RNA
Source: RNAcentral